UGUUGUUGUUGUUUGUUGUUAUGUUAUCCACUGCCAUAAGAGGCAGCAGAACUAAAUUUUAUUGUGUGUAUGUGUGUACGUACAUCCAUAUGUAUGUAUGUGGCAUAGGGUUGUCGGCAGUCAGUUAUGGUUGCUGCACCUGUGCUCUUGGCUGGUUGUCUUCGCGCAUGCGUAGGAAUGCAAUGACGGAAAUAUGGCUAUGGCAAUAGCAAUAACAACAAAAACAACAAUGAGAACAAAUAGAAAGUAUAGCGAUAACGAGUUGUUGAGCGACUUUGGUUCAAAAUUAAAAAUGCAAAUUCACUGAGGGAGGGAUGUUUUUCGCCUCCUAACGAAGUUCGACUUUGUCUUCAUUACAGGUAAGCUUGUCACACUCAUUAGAUAUUUGACAGCUUCACUAUUUUAGUGCCAGCUUACAGCCAUAGUAGGAGCCACUAUCUUUGGGGGUUAUCAGCUGAUCUAAACGAGAAAAAAAUCCGGGUCAACACCUACGCGUAGAACUAGCUGUCGUGAGACUUUAAGAACUGCAUUCAGCACCGCUUAAAACAACCGCUGAACAGGGCGACAUACUUAAAGGCAUUCACCAAGAGUCCGUCAACACCUUCCUGAAUUCUCUUCCAUUGAAUGGCGUUCUCAGACUCUCAGGGUCAGGCCACCACCUAUUACAGACGUAGAUCUCUAGCUGCCUCUCGAAUUCCGCGUAAUACUGGCGCAACUUAGAUCUGUAUAUUGUAGUAGAUUAAAUUGCUACAUAAUCAAACUUGAUCCCGACAUACCCAACGUAUGUAUGCAUGUCCUGCAUGAAAUGAGUCCCCGUAAGACAUUAAUCAACUCAUUUAACCUCUCUUUCCCCGGGUCCGAACCCGUCAAAGCAGCUCGUUUCCUGAAUCUACCGUUAGAUGCCCGCAAUGACUUAGACAGAUCCAGUGUGCUCUUAAGCUGGGCUAGCGAACCAUUACAACAAUAACAACAACCUUUGGUAGUACACGGUCUUCAACUGAUUAAGACGUCAAAUAUUUCACGUUGCUACGAACUCCAAUCUUAUCGCAAUGGGUGCUAGGUGGAAACUGUUCGCAAAAGCAUAAUUGGGAUAAGCAGUGCUGGCCUAAGAGCGGCCUGCUAGAGGAUCUCAGUCUGGAGCCCCCGCACUUGUUUCUGAGCCUCGAAAAUUAUUCCGUUUCGCACAACCUCAACCGACAACAGGUAAACGCAGACUGACUUUGAGCUCUUUGUGUUGUGUCUCUUCUCAGUACAUCCGACGUCCAAAGCACCACUACCACGAGCACUAUAAGCACCAACAUGAAGAGCACUAGCACUGACGUUGUGGACAUACACGCGAUGUAGGAAUCAACGUCGUCUCAUUGUCAACGCUCGUGGCUUUGAGUAGCCGGCUUUAUGAUCAGUACUUUGGAUGUUUGCACUCCAAAACGGGUAAGAAAAGAAACCGGCUAAUACCUACCGCUAUGGUGUUCCCAGACGUGUUGUGAAGUUUUGUGCAUUGGUGAUGUUGGAAUUUGGCAGUAAAGUAAUCGGUUUUUAAUAUAUAACAAACCUGUACGGCACUCUGCGGUGAUACAUAUAGUUUUAAAACUGAUGCCAGACUUAAUUAAUUAAUUUUCGGAGGGCUAACAAUAAACUCAUCUCCUUACAGUGGUCCCUACUCUUCCAAAUAAUUUCAUGAAAAAUAACAAAACUAUGCAGUCAAUAAAGGAAUGAAAAAACUACUCCACCUGUUGUAGUCGAAGUACAAUCAACGUUACACAUUGGCCUCUGAAAGAAUUCUCGCAAGAGCGAAGAAGUCAAUCGAAACCCUGUGUGUGUUUCGUUACUGCUGUAAAUGUAUGCUUUCAAUUGAAGUCGAUCUCUUGGAAAUUUUCAUGAAUCCUGAAUAGAAUCUCGCAAUCAGAACUUGAAAUAUUGCUGAUGCGAUACUCAUUAGAGACAGUAAUCACAAAUACCGGUCAGUCGUGUGACACAUCACUGUUACUGACACAAUUAAAAUCUUAAUUGACCUUGACUUACUUCCUA
This 2028-nucleotide long non-coding RNA is filed under the name Ceratitis capitata (Mediterranean fruit fly). RNAcentral's name for it is "uncharacterized LOC110118530, transcript variant X4". The record is from RNAcentral. Lineage: Eukaryota; Metazoa; Arthropoda; Insecta; Diptera; Tephritidae.